UACGGAGGAUCCGAGCGUUAUCCAGAUUUAUUGGGUUUAAAGGGUGCGUAGGCGGUUUGAUAAGUUAGAGGUGAAAUGUCGGGGCUCAACCCCGAAACUGCCUCUAAUACUGUUGGACUAGAGAAUAGUUGCGGUAGGCGGAAUGUAUGGUGUAGCGGUGAAAUGCUUAGAGAUCAUACAGAACACCGAUUGCGAAGGCAGCUUACCAAACUAUAUCUGACGUUGAGGCACGAAAGCGUGGGUAGCAAACAGG
This 253-nucleotide ribosomal RNA is filed under the name uncultured bacterium. RNAcentral describes it as "partial 16S ribosomal RNA". It matches the Rfam family "Bacterial small subunit ribosomal RNA", at positions 524 to 776 of the family's 1533-position model. The record is from RNAcentral.